Molecule: ribosomal RNA, 524 nt
Filed under: uncultured bacterium
Lineage: Bacteria
Description: bacterial SSU rRNA
Rfam family: Bacterial small subunit ribosomal RNA
Source: RNAcentral
GGCUCAGGACGAACGCUGGCGGCGUGCCUAAUACAUGCAAGUCGAACGGUCUUUCUAUGGAAGCUUGCUUCCACUGAGAAGAUAGUGGCGAACGGGUGAGUAACACGUGGGUAACCUGCCCAUAAGAGGGGGAUAACAUCCGGAAACGGGUGCUAAUACCGCAUAGUUUUCUUGAUCGCAUGAUUGAGAAAGGAAAGACGGCCUUUGUGCUGUCGCUUAUGGAUGGACCCGCGGCGUAUUAGUUAGUUGGUGAGGUAACGGCUCACCAAGACGAUGAUACGUAGCCGACCUGAGAGGGUGAUCGGCCACAUUGGGAUUGAGACACGGCCCAAACUCCUACGGGAGGCAGCAGUAGGGAAUCUUCCGCAAUGGACGAAAGUCUGACGGAGCAACGCCGCGUGAGUGAAGAAAGGUUUUCGGAUCGUAAAACUCUGUUGUCAGAGAAGAACAAGUUGGAGAGUAACUGCUCCAGCCUUGACGGUAUCUGACCAGAAAGCCACGGCUAACUACGUGCCAGCAGCCGC